CCAACGGCCCUCUUUAGGGCCACAAAUUAGCCAAUAAUCCAAAUUG
This 46-nucleotide non-coding RNA is filed under the name Caenorhabditis brenneri. Its description in RNAcentral is "sRNA CBN34262". It matches the Rfam family "Histone 3' UTR stem-loop". From Rfam's summary of the family: The mRNAs of metazoan histone genes lack a poly-A tail. Lineage: Eukaryota; Metazoa; Nematoda; Chromadorea; Rhabditida; Rhabditidae. The record is from RNAcentral.